This 2358-nucleotide ribosomal RNA is filed under the name Platystoechotes lineata. RNAcentral's name for it is "SSU rRNA". It matches the Rfam family "Eukaryotic small subunit ribosomal RNA". The record is from RNAcentral. Lineage: Eukaryota; Metazoa; Arthropoda; Insecta; Neuroptera; Ithonidae.
UGUCCUGCCAGUAGUCAUAUGCUUGUCUCAAAGAUUAAGCCAUGCAUGUCUCAGUACAAGCCAUAUUAAGGUGAAACCGCGAAAGGCUCAUUAUAUCAGUUAUGGUUCCUUAGAUCGUACCCACAUUUACUUGGAUAACUGUGGUAAUUCUAGAGCUAAUACAUGCAAACAGAGUUCCAACCAGAGAUGGAAGGAAUGCUUUUAUUAGAUCAAAACCAAUCGAUGUGGCUAUAUGUUUCCUUUGUGGAUUCAUAUUUGUUACAUCGUUAAUUUGGUGACUCUGAAUAACUUUGAGCUGAUCGCACGGUCUUGUACCGGCGACGCAUCUUUCAAAUGUCUGCCUUAUCAACUGUCGAUGGUAGGUUCUGCGCCUACCAUGGUUGUAACGGGUAACGGGGAAUCAGGGUUCGAUUCCGGAGAGGGAGCCUGAGAAACGGCUACCACAUCCAAGGAAGGCAGCAGGCGCGCAAAUUACCCACUCCCGGCACGGGGAGGUAGUGACGAAAAAUAACGAUACGGGACUCAUCCGAGGCCCCGUAAUCGGAAUGAGUACACUUUAAAUCCUUUAACGAAGGAUCCAUUGGAGGGCAAGUCUGGUGCCAGCAGCCGCGGUAAUUCCAGCUCCAAUAGCGUAUAUUAAAGUUGUUGCGGUUAAAAAGCUCGUAGUCGAAUUUGUGUCCCGCACUGUCGGUUCACCGCUCGCGGUGUUCAACUGGCAUGUUAUGUGGGACGUCCUACCGGUGGGUGGUGUAAAUUGUAUGUUGUAUUACUAUAUUUGUUGUGUUAUAUGUUUUGUGUGUGUGCGCGGUCGUGUAUAAUAUCAUAUAUUAUGUGUAUGUGCUAUGUUAUAUGCUGCUGUUGUGUUAUAUGUGUUUAACUGCACAUUAAUGCAGCACACAUAUAUUCAUUCUCAUUUCAUGUGUAUAUAUGUGUAUGUGCAUGCCCCACAUAUGUAUUCACAUAUUUUACACUCUGUAUGGUAAUUUUCAAUUAUAUUAUUUACCGUAAGUGUUUUUCCGUGAAGAACGGCGGCAGCCCCCAAUUGCAAUCCCGUCGCGGUGCUCUUAACUGAGUGUCGAGGUGGGCCGGUACGUUUACUUUGAACAAAUUAGAGUGCUUAAGGCAGGCUCAAAUUUCGCCUGAAUAUUGUGUGCAUGGAAUAAUGGAAUAGGACCUCGGUUCUAUUUUGUUGGUUUUCGGAACUCCGAGGUAAUGAUUAAUACGGACAGAUGGGGGCAUUCGUAUUGCGACGUUAGAGGUGAAAUUCUUGGAUCGUCGCAAGACGGACAGAAGCGAAAGCAUUUGCCAAAAAUGUUUUGAUUGAUCAAGAACGAAAGUUAGAGGUUUCGAAAGCGAUCAGAUACCGCCCUAGUUCUAACCAUAAACGAUGCCAGCUAGCGAACCCCCGAAAGUUCCCUCCGAUGACUCGGCGGGCAGCUUUCCGGGAAACCAAAGCUUUUGGGUUCCGGGGGAAGUAUGGUUGCAAAGCUGAAACUUAAAGGAAUUGACGGAAGGGCACCACCAGGAGUGGAGCCUUGCGGCUUAAUUUGACUCAACACGGGAAACCUCACCAGGCCCGGACACCGGAAGGAUUGACAGAUUGAGAGCUCUUUCUUGAUUCGGUGGGUGGUGGUGCAUGGCCGUUCUUAGUUGGUGGAGCGAUUUGUCUGGUUAAUUCCGAUAACGAACGAGACUCUAGCCUGCUAAAUAGACGUACUUUACCGGCAUCUCAAGGCCCACCGGCUGUUUGUUUUCCGUUACGUUGUUGCAUGUUUUAUAUAUUUAAUGUAUUUUAUGCAUAUAUAUUAUGUAAUAUUGGGGGGUUUAUGUUGUUGUAUAUAUGCUCUCACAUAUAUAUGUUUUGUAUUUACUACUUCGCCUCUAUAUGUGUGCUGGGCCUCUAUAUGCGCCACGUUUACCUCUCUGAGCAUAUGUAUAUUUUGUGUUGUAUGUUUUAUAUUAUCAUGUUUACACGUACGGGCUACAGUUUUUUGGUGUGGUUUUUACUGCCGGCGUACAAAUAAUUCUUCUUAGAGGGACAGGCGGCUUCUAGCCGCACGAGAUUGAGCAAUAACAGGGCUGUGAUGCCCUUAGAUGUUCUGGGCCGCACGCGCGCUACACUGAAGGAAUCAGCGUGUCCUCCCUGGCCGAAAGGUCCGGGUAACCCGCUGAACCUCCUUCGUGCUAGGGAUUGGGGGUUGCAAUUGUUCCCCAUGAACGAGGAAUUCCCCGUAAGCGCGAGUCAUAAGCUCGCGUUGAUUAAGUCCCUGCCCUUUGUACACACCGCCCGUCGCUAAUACCGAUUGAAUGAUUUAGUGAGGUCUUCGGACUGGUACGCGGAAACGUCAAUUACAGAAA